CGGCAACAGCUCAAAUUUGAAAUCUGGCGUAAGCCCGAGUUGUAAUUUGCAGAGGAUGCUUCGGGUGAAGCCACGGUCCAAGUCCCUUGGAACAGGACGUCAUAGAGGGUGAGAACCCCGUACCUGGCCGUCGGUGCCCCCCGCUGUGAAGCUCCUUCGAC
This 161-nucleotide ribosomal RNA is filed under the name Venturia sp. (in: ascomycete fungi). RNAcentral's name for it is "Venturia sp. (in: Fungi) partial large subunit ribosomal RNA". It matches the Rfam family "Eukaryotic large subunit ribosomal RNA", at positions 99 to 261 of the family's 3401-position model. Lineage: Eukaryota; Fungi; Ascomycota; Dothideomycetes; Venturiales; Venturiaceae. The record is from RNAcentral.